Molecule: ribosomal RNA, 1117 nt
Filed under: Bathyallogromia weddellensis
Lineage: Eukaryota; Foraminifera
Description: bacterial SSU rRNA
Rfam family: Eukaryotic small subunit ribosomal RNA
Source: RNAcentral
GCGGGAAAUCUUACCGGGUCCGGACACACUGAGGAUUGACAGGCAAUAAUGUAAAGAGUUGGUUUUAUUUUUUUAAUUCUAUUCUCUUUAUAUACAAAUAUGCUAGUCCUUUCAUGAUUAUGUGAUAGGUGGUGCAUGGCCGUUCUUAGUUCGUGGAGUGAUCUGUCUGCUUAAUUGCGUUUCAUUAUGGACCUGAUAUAUAGUUGCGUGAUUUUCUUUCACUGCUAUACAGCGUCUGCUUGAUCGACAGUUUUUCAUUUGUUUGUAUUUAUUUACUCUCUAUUUGGAAGACUGCUCUGGUCUUCUUUCGUUUGUAGUGUUAAGAGAAUUUGCGUACUUCUGGUCCUGAAAGCAACGAACGUGACCGCAUCCUCUUGUUGCCUCUUACACUUGUACGAUUUUACUUUUUCUGAAUUUAUUCAAAAAUUGUAUUUAUUGUGCUAAUCAAAGAGUGCUUUAUAAAACUAGAGGGACCGCUGAGCCUUUUUUAAACCAGAGGAAGGUUGCGGCAAUAACAGGUCUGUGAUGCCCUUAGAUGUUCCGGGCUGCACACGUGCUACAAUGAUUAUUGCAGUGAGCAUCUCAUAUUAUAGCACUGUAGUCCAACUAGUCUUUUUCUGUUUAUUCAGGAUUUGAUUGGUUGCGCAGUCAAGCCUGCUUCGAAAGUUCGCAGGUAAUCAAUUGGAAGUAAUGAUUUCCCUUAACUCAAAUUAGUUUUUGAUUUUGAAUAAGCACGCAAUAUACUGCUCUCCUCCCGGGUUUCUAGCAAUCUUGUCUAGAUUCCUUAGUGUGUGGAGAUGUUUUUCAGUAUGUGCUUUUGUCAAUUCAUGGUGGGGACAGACCAUUAUUAAUUGUUGGUCUCGGUCUCAACUAGGAAUGCCUUGUACGGGUCUUUGGUUCAACAAACCACCCGGAAUACGUCCCUGCCCUUUGUACACACCGCCCGUCGCUCUUACCGAUGGACUUCUCUGUGAGUUUGAGGGACUGGGCACCUUAGUUUGCUUUUCUUUUUUGAACUGCUUGCUAUAAUCGCCUAUGGAAACUUAAACGAACAGUGUGGUCUAAAGGAAAGAGAAGUCGUAACAAGGCAUCGGUAGGUGAACCUGCAGAAGGAUCA